AACGGCAAGAUUCCCAGGCGGCGAUAUCUGCAUAAUGGGAAAUCGGAAUUGGCAACGAGAGCCACGGAUGUGAACUUGCACGCUCGAGCGACAUGGAAUUUUCGAAUUCCCGAUGAGCCGAGAAGCUUGAAUUUUAAUAGUUUCGUGUCGUAUUAAUUCUGUCGAGAUGGCAACGUUUCCGUUUAUUUUUUAAAAUGAAAUGUACGACGAGACUCAUCUCCGUGGGCUCCAAAAGGAGUUUUUAACGUAGGAGAAAAAACGAAUGGAAGUGAAGACAAAAAACUUGGAUUGCCUGCUCGGCCGCGUCGUGAGUCAACUCAGCCGAACAUCCUCCGCAAUAUUUUCCGCCAGCCACGUGUACUCUGGACGAAAGCUCAAGAGUCACAUGUUCCAAUAUGAAAAGGAACGUGCCCGCAUAUCCGCGACGUAGUUAUAAGGAAACGUAGCAGGAAAGACUCGCCUCCUCGAAGCCAAAGUGACGAUAAAAAAUCUUCGAGAAACGGCGAAACGAGUUUGCCACUCUUGGCUAUGAAGCGAAUAAAAUCGCUGCGACGGAAAAACGUUUUUGGCGAGCUGCGUGAAUAGAUAGCAAGGAAUAUCCUCUCGCGAUGGCCACGUAUGAAGUUUCUCGCGAUAUUAUAACCGCGCGAGUAUGUUGUAACGAAAGAGUACUGCGGUAUCAUCUUUCUUCGUCGUAUAACGUAACGCCGUGCAUCACGCGACGGACCGCAGUGUCCUUGUCACCGUCGUGUCAACAUGAGCGCACAAAAAGACGAUGAAAAUGAAAGAAAACAGUUGCAAAUUUAUGACGCUGAAGUUUGCAACGUUCGAGUCUAACGAAACGAUCUGAAAAAAGUCUCCAAUUCCAGUAAUUUUCCAAUUUCGUUCUCGUAGUUUUUCAAGCUGCACCACGACUCUUGGUGAAAUAAAUAAUUGGUGAAUUACAAAUGUUUUUUUCGUUGGACUGCAACGUUGCAAACUUCAGCGUCGUGAAGAUUUCCGGUUAUCGUACACACUGCGAAAGAAUGAUUUGUCGUGAUUUAUCGCAGGUUUGGUAUAAGACAAAUCGUUCAACUUUUUUUACAUUCAAAGACUAUAAUUCGAAUGAAAAUGAUUGUGUUCUGCGCAGCCGAAAGGUUACGGAAAAUCAAGAAGUAUGUUUUUUCAUAUUUUUUUGGUAAUAUUUUGAUUCUCCGAAGUUUCGACCUCAUUUCACACUCCAGAGGAUAAAAGAAUCCACGAAAUAUUCACAAAAGGUUACACACUCCGAGUGAGAAUCGUCACGGGGCUCGCUAUUACGAUGGAAUUUUGAAAUUUUCACCUGCACUAUCGGGACGAAUAUCUAAUUUUACUUCAUAAUGCAGUAUUCGUCUCGGUACGUGGUAUGGGAAUAUCGGUAAUGCUAGUAUUUCAGAAUAGUGGCGUAAGCCGGAGGCCGUAGUGAAACAAAAGUUGCCGAUUGGCCAACUAGUAACGCUCUGAUUAACGAGUAAACCAUGGCGUUCGGGUUUACAUACUCUAUUCUCGGAUUAUUUUAUCGUCGAAUUCGUCAUACAGCUGACAGCAAAAGAUCGCGUGCUGGCAAUCCGAGUUCUACAGUGAUGGUUUUUUCUUCGUUGACAAAAUCAAUUUUCAUCUUUUAAAGGUUACGUCAUAGUGACAUUUUUUCUCAAAUUUUCUGCACUCGGGUUCCAAUCCCCGUCGUCACUUUAUUUUAAGUUACGAAGCAUUUUUACUGCUCGCUGUGAAGUCAAUGAGCUGAAGCAUCGAUUGAAACAAACCUCCGUGAGCCCUCGAUGUCGAAACAUUGAAACGCACAAUUUUAAAGAGCAAGAAUAAAAAUGGUUAUUGCCAGGGAGUGCGCGACAGUGACGAAUGAUGUGUGAAAAUUCAAAGUUUUCUGUCAACGAAAAAACGGUUAUUUUGUUCCAUUUUUUAUUUUCUCGAAUACUCAACGAUUCUAUCUGCGCAAUAAAUUCAAGUUCGAAUCUCUCUCGCUUAACGAACGUGCCUAUUGAUCAAUUUUCUAAGGACGCCAUCUACCCGAAGCGUCACUAACUACGACUAGCAAUUUGGCAUGCGACGAUAAAAAAGGUCGACUCAAAUCUGCCGGUUCUACUUGACUCGUUGCUUCAAUCGCGCGCAAUUCGAUAUUCGUCCUUUUUAUUUACAAGGUGACUGUUCGCGGAGUGAAGUUUCAAUUCGAAUGAUUAAAAAUCGACGUUCAGAAGCGAGCGCGACGUCUCGGAAGAUGUGCGUCAAAGAUACGAAGUUGUAACGUUUGUACUUUGGAGUCCAAAAAAAAAAAGAGAAACAGCAGAUUUGAAGCGCAGCAGCAAGGAACAGCAGGAUGAAAAAUGGAGGAAAGUUUUAGUCACAAUAAUAGCGAAGCUGGAAAAAGGGCACUGGCGUAUCUAGUAGUUCGAUGACCGUAGCAUGGGCGCGAAUUUCAUCGCGAUAAUCGAUCGCGAGCUAAAACCGUCUAUCAGGAAAACGUUACGUUGGGUAAAGCCACGCUUCGCGUCGGUGUGUUGCGUCGUAUGGACGUCGGGUAGCUGAAUCAGUUAAUUGUAAUUGACGAGGGUUCUGCCAGUGAAGGCGGACAGAAACAAAUCUGUCGUAAGCUUCCCACCGUUGUUGUACUAUAGUUUUAUCGAAAUAAUUGAAUGCUUCGUUACAACGAGAGAAAUCAUCGUGUCUUCCGGCUCUCUAUCUCUCAUCUCAAGACUGAUCUAAACCUUCAUUUUUGCAGCACUCGAAGUCAGUGCCGCUCAUCGCGUAGGCCACGGGAAUUCAAAACAAUGUGAGGUCUAAAUUUACGUGAGUCAAUUGUGACGAAUCUUUUCACACGCGGUUUUCUCAACGAUUUCAUUCACGAGGUGGUUCGCGAAAAGGACUCGCGAAUUGAGAUAUAAAAACUUGAUUUUCUGACGUUUUCUAACGAUAAAAAUCAAUGAGAACUUGAGAAAUGUCAAGUUACGAUUUUGCAUCAACGAACACGUAAAGCUUCAACGAAAAAUUUAUUUCCGUAGUUUUCAUGUACAUUCCCGUACUGUUUUGAUAUUCAAAAAUUCAAAAAAGGUAUUCGGGAACAAACCCUUUAAACUUCCUCUUCUGAAACAUGUCAAACCGAUGAAGUGAUUUUCUGUUGGAUGAGGUUUCCAAAAACAGCGAAACACUGUUGGAAAUAAUGAUAAAUUCGAAGGUAAUGGAACACUCGAAAGUGAAGCAUUUUUAAAAACUAGAACACUCUGUUUAAAAGCGAAGAAGUCGUCGUCAAUUCGUUUAUUCAAGAAAAUUUGCUACGUUCGUUUUAACGGCAUGCCUCGUGUGUUAUCGAAUACAUCGAAUGAGACCUAUCGAUUAUGUAAAUGAAGUGGACUGUAACGAAGAUAAUAGAAACAACGGUUCCUCCCGAUGGUCGGAAGUUAAAUUCGGGUUCCGAGUAGCCGAAUAAUCGAACAAAAUAAUGUCGAACGUUGAAAAUGAAUAUUACAUUUUUCUACAGAUUCGACGAACGAAUACACCGGAGCACUUUUUCACGACACUGUCAUAACAAAAAAUAAGAAGUAAGAAAACAAUAAUAAAUAAAUAAAGUUCUAGAAACGAGGCCUGACAGAUUCGACACGCGGUCGGAAACGACGCGUUCCUCGUCCGACACGACUUCACGGAGGCAAAACUACUACUGAUCGUCGGUCGUCGAAUGAGAAUGUGGCAAACUCGGUAGAGCGCGCGGCGUUGGUGAGCCACCGGUGGCUGCUCGAUGAGCCUACAGUCUUGAGCAAAAAUUCGUGGUGGAGGGGGCGAAAAGAAGUCGCAGAACAACAAUUUUGCUCGGUUGUGGUUCAUGGGACGAACGUCUUUAAUAUCGAACGCUUUACCAAGCAGACAAAAAGCAAAAAAACUCGCAAAUCAAGGACUUUUUUGAAGCACACGAAAAGGGAAAAUGCCGAGGACAUACAUAAGCUUCGAACAAUGAUCGCGGAUGCUUCUGACAUUUUCGAUCCAUGGCCUGUUCCAUAGAUUUGACAUUUCAAGACGACCACGAUACCGAAAACAACGAUUUGCGAGACGAUCGAAAUGGAAAUAAAUGUCGGAAAGUACGGAAAAAUAGUUUUGACGUUCGUUCGAUUUCUCAGGUCUUCGAGUUUUGGAUACACGUCAAUUUUUACUGGCAAUGGAUCGAAAGUUUUGAAAUGAUUUAAAAUGAAAAUAGAUAUCGAAGAUCCACGUACCCGGAUUCAGAUUGCGUCGUCGAGCUCGUGCAGAGCCGUAUUCGAGUCCAGUCUGAGGAAAAGAUUGACGUAAACAAGCUGAUUCGUAAAUUCUCCAGUGAAAUGAUUCAAGUUUGUAGCGCAAAGAAAGUUACGAAUAUUGGGAACAUUGAAAAGUGCAGAAGCGAAAAAACUCCCGGUGCGUUGGAGCAAAAAAAGCUUAAUUGUCAGUAAUUUCGACGUGCCAACGUCCUCACCGUCUGUUCGAUUCAUCGUACGAGCGAUCCUCGCUGCAUUCGUAGUCGAGCAUGAGGUCGUCCGAAGUGAUGGAUUCGCAGGGUGAGAGUGUACCGACGCUUCCGGCACGGCUGAUUCGUCGGCCGUGAAUCGGACUGUUUUCGACGCUGCGUCCCUGCAGUAAACCUGAAAAUAAAAACAAGUGAUUCGAUAGAAUCGAGUCGAGGUACGAGGAGUUCCUGGGAUGGAAACGAGACGCACCUUUGUACGAUAAAAAAACUGGAACGCGGAAGCGUUGAAAAGAGUUUACAAAAUAGCCAAUUUACGAUCCGAAUCGAAGUGACAGGAUGGCUCGCGGUAACAACCGAUUGUGUAUCGGCACCGUUUCUGAGGGUGUCAUCGAAAGUGAGUCCAGGUUGAUCGGCGAUUUCAUCAUCAAAGAAUUCCCGUCCCUCGGAGAGGCUGAGCGAGUUGGAUGC
Long non-coding RNA from Venturia canescens, 4930 nucleotides. RefSeq lists it as uncharacterized. NCBI's taxonomy places the organism in Eukaryota, Metazoa, Arthropoda, Insecta, Hymenoptera, Ichneumonidae. The record is from RefSeq and is a predicted model, not a curated record. The transcript has 8 exons.